AUACGGAGGAUCCGAGCGUUAUCCGGAUUUAUUGGGUUUAAAGGGAGCGCAGGCGGCACUUUAAGUCAGCGGUUAAAUCGUGGGGCUCAACAUCAUUCUGCCGUUGAUACUGGGUGGCUUGAUUGCGGUCGAGGUUGGCGGAAUUCGUUGUGUAGCGGUGAAAUGCAUAGAUAUGACGAAGAACACCGAUUGCGUAGGCAGCUGACCAGAUCGCAAAUGACGCUCAUGCACGAAAGUGCGGGGAUCGAACAGGAUUAGAUACCCUGGUAGUCCGCACAGUAAACGAUGAAUACUUGUUUUCGGCGAUAUAAUGUCGGAGGCAAAGCGAAAGCGAUAAGUAUUCCACCUGGGGAGUACGCCGGCAACGGUGAAACUCAAAUGAAUUGACGGGG
RNAcentral lists this ribosomal RNA (392 nucleotides) under uncultured bacterium. Its description in RNAcentral is "partial 16S ribosomal RNA". It matches the Rfam family "Bacterial small subunit ribosomal RNA", at positions 523 to 918 of the family's 1533-position model. The record is from RNAcentral.